This 579-nucleotide ribosomal RNA is filed under the name Dyella sp. StRD445. RNAcentral describes it as "bacterial SSU rRNA". It matches the Rfam family "Bacterial small subunit ribosomal RNA", at positions 102 to 677 of the family's 1533-position model. Lineage: Bacteria; Pseudomonadati; Pseudomonadota; Gammaproteobacteria; Lysobacterales; Rhodanobacteraceae. The record is from RNAcentral.
ACGGGUGAGUAAUGCAUCGGGACCUACCUAGACGUGGGGGAUAACGUAGGGAAACUUACGCUAAUACCGCAUACGUCCUACGGGAGAAAGCAGGGGACCUUCGGGCCUUGCGCGGUUAGACGGACCGAUGUUCGAUUAGCUUGUUGGUGAGGUAAUGGCUCACCAAGGCGACGAUCGAUAGCUGGUCUGAGAGGAUGAUCAGCCACACUGGAACUGAGACACGGUCCAGACUCCUACGGGAGGCAGCAGUGGGGAAUAUUGGACAAUGGGCGCAAGCCUGAUCCAGCAAUGCCGCGUGUGUGAAGAAGGCCUUCGGGUUGUAAAGCACUUUUAUCAGGAGCGAAAUACUACCGGCUAAUACCCGGUGGGGCUGACGGUACCUGAGGAAUAAGCACCGGCUAACUUCGUGCCAGCAGCCGCGGUAAUACGAAGGGUGCAAGCGUUAAUCGGAAUUACUGGGCGUAAAGCGUGCGUAGGCGGUUUGUUAAGUCUGCUGUGAAAUCCCCGGGCUCAACCUGGGAAUGGCAGUGGAUACUGGCAGGCUAGAGUGUGUCAGAGGAUGGUGGAAUUCCCGGUGUA